Molecule: non-coding RNA, 571 nt
Organism: Centropristis striata (black sea bass)
Lineage: Eukaryota; Metazoa; Chordata; Actinopteri; Perciformes; Serranidae
Source: the annotation of a RefSeq genome assembly
AUGACUUUGAUCUGCGUCCUCAUCUGGACUCUCCUCUGCUGCUGCUUCACAGAGUCCAGAGGACAGGUCACAGUGACUCAGCCUGGAGCAGUGAGGUCUGCUCCGGGAGGCUCCGUCCCCAUCAGCUGUAGGACCAGUCAGGAUGUUUAUGGUGGGGACCGGUUAGCCUGGUACCAACAGAGAGAUGGAGAAACUCCUAAACUGCUUAUUUACUAUACUAGCACUCGUCAGUCAGGGACUCCAGAUCGUUUUACAGGCAGUGGAUCAAACUCUGACUUCACUCUGACCAUCAGUGGAGUUCAGGCUGAAGAUGCAGCAGUUUACUACUGUCAGAGUUAUCACUGGAUCAACAGUCAGUAUGUGUUCACACAGUGAAAAAGCGUCGUACUAAAACCUCCCUCAGUCAGCAGAACAGAAACUGAACUGACUGCUGCAGCUGGAAGCUACUGCAGAGACUGACACACUUCACUGGACACACACAUUGUGCAGACAAACUUUGGGUUGUAUUAAUACUAAGACACCUUUUAAUUCAAUGAUCUAUAAGACAUUCGUGUCCUCAUCCUCUUUUUAU